GAUGAACGCUGGCGGCGUGCCUAAUACAUGCAAGUCGAGCGAACGGACGAGAAGCUUGCUUCUCUGAUGUUAGCGGCGGACGGGUGAGUAUCACGUGGAUAACCUACCUAUAAGACUGGGAUAACUUCGGGAAACCGGAGCUAAUACCGGAUGAUAUUUUGAACCGCAUGGUUCAAAAGUGAAAGACGGUCUUGCUGUCACUUAUAGAUGGAUCCGCGCUGCAUUAGCUAGUUGGUAAGGUAAUGGCUUACCAAGGCAACGAUGCAUAGCCGACCUGAGAGGGUGAUCGGCCACACUGGAACUGAGACACGGUCCAGACUCCUACGGGAGGCAGCAGUAGGGAAUCUUCCGCAAUGGGCGAAAGCCUGACGGAGCAACGCCGCGUGAGUGAUGAAGGUCUUCGGAUCGUAAAACUCUGUUAUUAGGGAAGAACAUAUGUGUAAGUAACUGUGCACAUCUUGACGGUACCUAAUCAGAAAGCCACGGCUAACUACGUG
This 497-nucleotide ribosomal RNA is filed under the name uncultured bacterium. RNAcentral describes it as "partial 16S ribosomal RNA". It matches the Rfam family "Bacterial small subunit ribosomal RNA", at positions 28 to 507 of the family's 1533-position model. The record is from RNAcentral.